AGACCCGAAACCCGGUGAUCUAGCCAUGGGCAGGUUGAAGGUUGGGUAACACUAACUGGAGGACCGAACCGACUAAUGUUGAAAAAUUAGCGGAUGACCUGUGGCUGGGGGUGAAAGGCCAAUCAAACCGGGAGAUAGCUGGUUCUCCCCGAAAGCUAUUUAGGUAGCGCCUCGUGAAUUCAUCUCCGGGGGUAGAGCACUGUUUCGGCUAGGGGGCCAUCCCGGCUUACCAACCCGAUGCAAACUGCGAAUACCGGAGAAUGUUAUCACGGGAGACACACGGCGGGUGCUAACGUCCGUCGUGAAGAGGGAAACAACCCAGACCGCCAGCUAAGGUCCCAAAGUCAUGGUUAAGUGGGAAACGAUGUGGGAAGGCCCAGACAGCCAGGAUGUUGGCUUAGAAGCAGCCAUCAUUUAAAGAAAGCGUAAUAGCUCACUGGUCGAGUCGGCCUGCGCGGAAGAUGUAACGGGGCUAAACCAUGCACCGAAGCUGCGGCAGCGAACGUAUCACCCAAGACAACUUUACGGAGUUGACGAUUGACGGAGCGAAGCGACGUCAAAGCGUUCAUUAAAGUCGAGUUGGCUUAGGGAUACGUUCGUUGGGUAGGGGAGCGUUCUGUAAGCCUGUGAAGGUGUGUCGUGAGGCAUGCUGGAGGUAUCAGAAGUGCGAAUGCUGACAUAAGUAACGAUAAAGCGGGUGAAAAGCCCGCUCGCCGGAAGACCAAGGGUUCCUGUCCAACGUUAAUCGGGGCAGGGUGAGUCGACCCCUAAGGCGAGGCCGAAAGGCGUAGUCGAUGGGAAACGGGUUAAUAUUCCCGUACUUGGUGUUACUGCGAAGGGGGGACGGAGAAGGCUAUGUUGGCCGGGCGACGGUUGUCCCGGUUUAAGCGUGUAGGUGUGUGUUCCAGGUAAAUCCGGUUCACUUUAACACUGAGGCGUGAUGACGAGGCACUACGGUGCUGAAGCAACAAAUGCCCUGCU
RNAcentral lists this ribosomal RNA (981 nucleotides) under Salmonella enterica subsp. enterica serovar Typhimurium. Its description in RNAcentral is "partial 23S ribosomal RNA". It matches the Rfam family "Bacterial large subunit ribosomal RNA", at positions 711 to 1606 of the family's 2925-position model. RNAcentral also lists the same sequence under 1 other name. The record is from RNAcentral. Lineage: Bacteria; Pseudomonadati; Pseudomonadota; Gammaproteobacteria; Enterobacterales; Enterobacteriaceae.